Molecule: ribosomal RNA, 450 nt
Filed under: uncultured bacterium
Lineage: Bacteria
Description: bacterial SSU rRNA
Rfam family: Bacterial small subunit ribosomal RNA
Source: RNAcentral
GUAGGGAAUCUUCGGCAAUGGACGAAAGUCUGACCGAGCAACGCCGCGUGAGUGAAGAAGGUUUUCGGAUCGUAAAACUCUGUUGUUAGAGAAGAAUGUUGAUUAGAGUGGAAAAUUAAUCAAGUGACGGUAUCUAACCAGAAAGGGACGGCUAACUACGUGCCAGCAGCCGCGGUAAUACGUAGGUCCCGAGCGUUGUCCGGAUUUAUUGGGCGUAAAGCGAGCGCAGGUGGUUUAAUAAGUCUGAUGUAAAAGGCAGUGGCUCAACCAUUGUGUGCAUUGGAAACUGUUAGACUUGAGUGCAGUAGAGGAGAGUGGAAUUCCAUGUGUAGCGGUGAAAUGCGUAGAUAUAUGGAGGAACACCGGUGGCGAAAGCGGCUCUCUGGACUGUCACUGACACUGAGGCUCGAAAGCGUGGGUAGCAAACAGGAUUAGAAACCCUAGUAGUCC